Molecule: long non-coding RNA, 374 nt
Organism: Homo sapiens (human)
Lineage: Eukaryota; Metazoa; Chordata; Mammalia; Primates; Hominidae
Exons: 3
Source: RefSeq, a predicted model, not a curated record
AGCUCCACAAGACUACCCCCUUCACAUGCCAGCAGCAAAUAUGGGGCCCAAGUUACCCACAUUUCUGCCCAGCUGACUACAAAUUCUGGUUUCCAUGACCCCCUCUCAGGUGACCAGUCCGCAUCCUGAUACUAUCUCGGAGUCCCCCAGCCAAGAAUCAUCUCAUCAGCAUAAACUCAGGCAAUGUUGAAAGGCAUUCAGAAUGGUACUGGCCAUGUAACAUCCUCAGGAAAAUGGAGAAAGGAGUCACAUCAUCUUCUGUGUUUGGAGACUGCUAUGUAAGCCAGAAUACUAGUCACACAGUGCAGGUGGGAGCGGCCGGGAAGUAACCUCCUUUUUUUUUAAGACUAAUACAUUUAUGGUAUACACCUGAA